GACGUAGGGCGCGAGCGUUGUCCGGAUUUAUUGGGCGUAAAGAGCUCGUAGGCGGUUUGUCGCGUCUGCCGUGAAAGUCCGGGGCUCAACUCCGGAUCUGCGGUGGGUACGGGCAGACUAGAGUGAUGUAGGGGAGACUGGAAUUCCUGGUGUAGCGGUGGAAUGCGCAGAUAUCAGGAGGAACACCGGUGGCGAAGGCGGGUCUCUGGGCAGUAACUGACGCUGAGGAGCGAAAGCGUGGGGAGCGAACAGG
Molecule: ribosomal RNA, 253 nt
Filed under: uncultured bacterium
Lineage: Bacteria
Description: partial 16S ribosomal RNA
Rfam family: Bacterial small subunit ribosomal RNA
Source: RNAcentral